This is a long non-coding RNA of Gadus morhua (Atlantic cod), 2849 nucleotides long. The record is from Ensembl. NCBI's taxonomy places the organism in Eukaryota, Metazoa, Chordata, Actinopteri, Gadiformes, Gadidae.
GUUAAUUUUUUUUUUCUCAAGAAUGUGUCAUGUAUAUGACGUGUCUUGUUACAAUGUGUUUUCUUAUAUGACAGGAGCAUUACUAUGAUCCUCGCAGUGGUCAAGGUUACCUGGCCUAUAGAUUGAAAACAGUGAGCGUAACAAUACAGGCAAAUCCGACACGAAUGCCAGGCCUGUUUAUGAAGGUAGCCUGAAGGUUCUGCGAGAGACCUCAGCAUCUGAACAGCUAUCAGGUGAUGAAUGCAUGGAGGCAAUGUCCAUCAUGAAACAUUCGGUGGACUAGCCAGUUGUCAAAGAAAAAAUGAAGGCAAUGUUCAAGCAUAGACAGAAGAUGCUACGCGAUCCUGACCAGUCCUCGCUUGUCCUGGAUCACUUCCCCCGAUUCCUGGAUACACCAGGCCUGAUAAGAAGUACAUGAACUUAACAACAAUUGAUAGAUAUAUAGUGUAGAUAUAGUGUUGUGUUUUUAAUAUGCUUUUCUUUGUAUUAGAUUGACCAAGACUUCACCAAGCUCUUUGGAGAGGAUGUCUCUGGCAAGUUCAUUGCAAAAUGGGCAACUUUCUACAAGGCUAGGGUCAUCACUGUCUGCAAAAAAAAAAAAAAAAAAGUGCCCUGGCACUCAUCUGGAUGACCUUCUGUUUGCGCAUGAAGAAGCAAGUGAAUGUGGUAAGUGUUUAUGGAUGUUUGCUUUGAACAGUAUUCAUUAUGUGUAUGCUUAUGCUUAUGAUCUGUGUGUGUGUGUGUGUGUGUGUGUGUGUGUGUGUGUGUGUGUGUGUGUGUGUGUGUGUGUGUGUGUGUGUGUGUGUGUGUGUGUGUGUGUGUGUCCACUAGGAUGGAACAGUGACUUGGCUGCUAUCCUCCUGCUCGUUCAUCUCUUGCCUCCAACCGCAAAAGGAAAAAGACACGUAAAAAUCAGUACUUCUGAAGCGUCUGACCAUGUGCUCAAAUUCAUGAAGGUUUGGACAAGCAUGGCAACCUUCCUUCACAAUGUUGAAUCCUCACAACCCUUCCUCCUCUGCAUUGGAGAAAAGAAGACGUGUAUUCAGAAAUUUUACAUCAUCCUGGACCACAAGCCCAUUCCCUGCAUGUCGCCGACUGCGGUAGGGGCCUUUGACGAACUGUUUAAGGUGCACUUUGUGUUUUCUCUGUCCUAUGAUGAGGCCUUAUUCAACUUCUAAACUUUCAUCCAAACAACCAUAUACGGCAUCGAUGUGGCCACCGCAAAGGAGAGUCGAAGGGUCAAGGAAAUCAGAGUGAGAAUCAAUAACGUUUAAACAUGUUCAACUGUUACAUUUGCAAGGUUGGCCAAAUAAAUUGUUCUGUUCUUUUUCAGCAUUUCAAAUUCAGCCAUGCUUUGUACCCAGGGAGGUCUUUACGUUUGAAAUGUGGGGAACAUGGCCGUUCAUCUCUUUUUUACACAUAUUGUGGGUUCAAGAAACAUUUAAAGAAAAUUCAUGGACACUGUUUAGCUUCAGAUCCUGUUGAUUGUCCAAAUAAUGAUGACAUGGUGGACAAUGUUUGUGUUAAUCAAUUGCCAAGUGAUUCAACUGUCAGUAACCAAUCCCCUCAAAAAAAAAGGCAGUUGGUGGAUAUGUGUAGCUCAAUUAUCGCUCAAGUGCAACACCAGUGUAAUGUUAAUACAACACUUGCAAGUGUUGUGCCCUGUUAAAUUCAAACAAGAAAUAGUGAUAAGUUAACUAAAAUUGAGUGUUAAACAUUUAACACUCUCCGAAAUGUUACUUUUACACCAGGUAGUGUGGAUGCAUAUAGACUCUUUGCCGGUGUUAAAUUUGACUUCACAGGUGUUAAUUUAACACCAGUGUUUUUGCUGUGCACCUUGGAAAAUGGACAGCCUCGAUGAUGCACAGUAGGUGUGGGAAAAAUAAUCGAUUCUUCGAUGCAUCGCGAUUCUCGCUUGAACGAUUCUGUCUCGAUGCAGAUAAAUUAAUAAUCUGAAUAAAAAAUAUAUAUAUGUAUAUAUAUAUUUUUUUUGCCUGCUGCAACAUUCUGUUCGCCAGAGAGGGAUAAUUUUUUGUAAUUUUAAAAUUAUUAAAUUUAUCUUCAGUGUAUUGGCCAAUCUGAUUUGUCUUGACACGAUUGCGAUUCAGCCAUAGAAUGCGCGCAAACUCACAGCCAGACACAAGAACUCCUUCUAAUUCAAGAGCAGCUUUUCCUUUAAUAACAAAGAAAAGAAAGAUUAGAAAGAAAAUAAAACUGAAACCUAUUUUUUGCAUGCUUCCAUAUUGUGUUAUAAUGCAAGCUCCAUUGAUUAUUGCAUUGUUCAUAGAAAGUCAUAUUUGUGACAAAAGCUUUCUCUCUUAUGAAAUAUAAGAUAAGUUAAUUCAUCUGUUGAUGUCUUUAAUGAUCAUUACAAAAGUAGGAAGUGAUUAGCAAACUCUGAGUAGCAAACCCAGAUGUAUAUAUAUAUUUUAGAAAAUUACGCAUGGAAAUGUACAUAAAAAAAAUUGUUGCAUCGAGAUGCAUCGAUAGUCGCUUCAGAAUCGAAUCGUUGACCUCAUAAUCCGAAUCGAAUCGUUAGGUGCCAAGAGAUUCCAACCCCUAAUGCCCAGCCCCUGUAUCUGUUCCAGCUCCUAAUCUACUCUGUCCUUCAUGAUAUAGGGCACCGCCCUCGGCUUAAAGAAACGUGGUGUGGCAUUGGGGUCGACUCUGAGCUUCACUGUCACUCGCUUCAGUGUGCCCUGCUCGUCCCUGAAAACGUUCCUGUACCGCUGCAGAAUGUCCUCCGACGUGUCUGCAUACUUAAUUUCAUGCCAGUUGAUCCCGAUUUUUUGUAGCCAGUCACGGCCUAAAAGACUGCAUCAUCAUCAUUAUAUGUCUACAUCAUUUCC